Molecule: long non-coding RNA, 443 nt
Filed under: Equus caballus (horse)
Lineage: Eukaryota; Metazoa; Chordata; Mammalia; Perissodactyla; Equidae
Description: lncRNA (ENSECAG00000053069.1)
Source: RNAcentral
AUGAAGUCUAAAGGAACAAGGGUAGUGGUGCACUGUGACCACGAACAACACGGAGCAACGGCAUCUGAAAGGCAGACAACGACAACAGCCCACAGAUGGUGCCAGUCAUCCCGAUAACGUACACCCGUUAAUUCUGUGAGUCAGGAUCCAGCCGCACUUGCUUUGUGCAACAGGGAGAACAUAUACGUGCUCUGACCGAGGAAGGACGGAGCACCUCCCUGAGCUACGAGAAUUCUAGUUGGCCGCAUUUCCCCUCAUUUCCGCGAGGAUCAACCCUGAGAAGUGGAAGCUCUUCACAGUCAGAGGCAUCUGGCAGGAGCAGAGGGACUCAGGCGAACCAAGAUUUCUGUUUGGAUACCGAUUAAUUCAGUCUCCCCGUCCCCAGAUUCCAGUGUCAAUACCUCCUGCCACUUUCUGAAUCCUGAGAGGAGGACUUACUUUUG